Molecule: ribosomal RNA, 508 nt
Filed under: uncultured bacterium
Lineage: Bacteria
Description: bacterial SSU rRNA
Rfam family: Bacterial small subunit ribosomal RNA
Source: RNAcentral
AACGAACGCUGGCGGCGUGCCUAACACAUGCAAGUCGAACGCGAACGGGUCUUCGGACCCUAGUAGAGUGGCGCACGGGUGAGUAACACGUGGGCAAUCUACCCAGGGAUUUGGGGAUAACCAGGGGAAACCCUGGCUAAUACCGAAUACGUCCAUGAGGCCUUCGGUCCUCAUGGAGAAAGGUGGCCUCUUCUCGAAAGCUGCCGUUCCUGGAUGAGCCCGCGGACCAUUAGCUUGUUGGUGAGGUAACGGCUCACCAAGGCCAUGAUGGUUAGCUGGUCUGAGAGGAUGAUCAGCCACACUGGGACUGACACACGGCCCAGACUCCUACGGGAGGCAGCAGUGGGGAAUCUUGCGCAAUGGGGGAAACCCUGACGCAGCAACGCCGCGUGGGUGAUGAAGGCCCUUGGGUCGUAAAGCCCUGUCUGGAGGAAAGAAUCCCGCUCUCGCUAAUACCGGGAGUGGAUGACGGUACCUCUGAAGGAAGCACCGGCUAACUCCGUGCCAG